UUUCCUGUUCUAGAAGGUACUCUCAAGUGCUUGUAAUAGGCAUUUCAGUGUCAGCCAGAUCAAAUGUUAGUAUUAAUAAAAUGGAUUGUUUUAAGUUUCUAUUGUAGCAAAGUCAAACUACUCUUAUUGGUGGCUAAUUGGUCAUGGCCCCACUGAGGGAGAAAUUAAGUGACUAUCAAAUUGCCUUCUUACUAGUCUGCGUUAGAGAGGGGACAGUGCGUUUCUCUCCCAAACGAUUGCAGUUCUCUCCUUUUCAGGCCUAUAAUGCAAAGAGCAAAAGCUUUGAAGAUCCUCCCAACCAUGCCCGUAGCCCUGGAAACAAAGGGAAGGGCAAGGGAAAAGGUACGUCAUUGUAUGAGUUUCUUUUCAAGUUAUUCUUCUGUAACUUGGAGGCUGCCUGUGAAUCCCUCAGUGUAAAACCACCUCUGGUGUUACUGACUCUGGGACAGCGAGGCCGCCUGAGUUAACAAGGCGCUUGAGAGCAAGGUGGACUUGGACUCUGAGGAUCGGGUUUAGCCUCUGGCCUCUCUCCCCCAGGGAAGGGCAAGCCCAAGUCCCAAGCCUGUGAGCCGAGCGAGCCAGAGAUAGAGAUCAAGCUGCCCAAGCUGCGGACCCUGGAUGUGUUUUCUGGCUGCGGGGGGUUGUCGGAGGGAUUCCACCAAGCAGGCAUCUCUGACACGCUGUGGGCCAUCGAGAUGUGGGACCCUGCGGCCCAGGCGUUCCGGCUGAACAACCCCGGCU
RNAcentral lists this long non-coding RNA (741 nucleotides) under Homo sapiens (human). RNAcentral's name for it is "HSALNT0255623". The record is from RNAcentral. Lineage: Eukaryota; Metazoa; Chordata; Mammalia; Primates; Hominidae.